UAGAGUUUGAUCCUGGCUAGAAUCACGCUGGCGGCGCGCCUAACACAUGCAAGUCGAACGAGAAAGCGGGGGCAACCUCGUGAGUAAAGUGGCGUACGGGUGAGUAACACGUGGGUAAUCUACCCUGAGGUGUGGAAUAACCCUGGGAAACUGGGGAUAAUACCGCAUAAUCCCGAGAGGGCAAAGGAGCAAUCCGCCUUAGGAGGAGCCCGCGGCCGAUUAGCUAGUUGGUGGGGUAAAAGCCCACCAAGGCAAAGAUCGGUAGCCGGCCUGAGAGGGCACACGGCCACACUGGCACUGAAACACGGGCCAGACUCCUACGGGAGGCAGCAGUGGGGAAUCUUGCACAAUGGGGGAAACCCUGAUGCAGCGACGCCGCGUGAGCGAUGAAGCCCUUCGGGGCGUAAAGCUCUUUCGGCAGGGACGAAACAUGACGGUACCUGCAGAAGCAGCUGCGGCUAACUACGUGCCAGCAGCCGCGGUAAUACGUAGGCAGCAAGCGUUGUUCGGAGUUACUGGGCGUAAAGGGUGCGUAGGCGGUCCCCUAAGUUCGGUGUGAAAUCUCCCGGCUCAACUGGGAGGGUGCGCCGGAAACUGAGGGACUCGAGUGCGGGAGGGGAGAGCGGAAUUCCUGGUGUAGCGGUGAAAUGCGUAGAUAUCAGGAGGAACACCGGUGGUGCAGACGGCUCUCUGGACCGUAACUGACGCUGAGGCACGAAAGCGUGGGUAGCAAACAGGAUUAGAUACCCUGGUAGUCCACGCCCUAAACGAUGCAUGCUUGGUGCUGGUGAUUCAGUUCAUCGGUGCCGGAGCUAACGCGUUAAGCAUGCCGCCUGGGGAGUACAGUCGCAAGGCUGAAACUCAAAGGAAUUGACGGGGGCCCGCACAAGCGGUGGAGCAUGUGGUUCAAUUCGACGCAACGCGAAGAACCUUACCUGGGCUCGAACGGCCGGUCAACGGUGGCGGAAACGCUACUACCCCGCAAGGGGGUCCGGUCGAGGUGCUGCAUGGCUGUCGUCAGCUCGUGUCGUGAGAUGUUGGGUUAAGUCCCGCAACGAGCGCAACCCUUGUCCUGUGUUGCCACUCCGAAAGGAAGCACUCGCAGGAGACCGCCAGCGAUAAGUUGGAGGAAGGUGGGGAUGACGUCAAGUCCUCAUGGCCUUUAUGUCCAGGGCUACACACGUGCUACAAUGGCCGGUACAAAGCGCUGCAAACCCGCGAGGGGGAGCCAAUCGCAGAAAACCGGUCUCAGUUCGGAUUGCAGGCUGCAACCCGCCUGCAUGAAGCUGGAAUCGCUAGUAAUGGCAGAUCAGCACGCUGCCGUGAAUACGUUCCCGGGCC
Molecule: ribosomal RNA, 1341 nt
Filed under: uncultured Acidobacteriota bacterium
Lineage: Bacteria; Pseudomonadati; Acidobacteriota
Description: bacterial SSU rRNA
Rfam family: Bacterial small subunit ribosomal RNA
Source: RNAcentral